Molecule: ribosomal RNA, 538 nt
Filed under: Curvularia australiensis
Lineage: Eukaryota; Fungi; Ascomycota; Dothideomycetes; Pleosporales; Pleosporaceae
Description: eukaryotic LSU rRNA
Rfam family: 5.8S ribosomal RNA (bases 169-322)
Source: RNAcentral
UCAUUACACAAUAAAAUACGAAGGCCGUUCGCGGCUGGACUAUUUAUUACCCUUGUCUUUUGCGCACUUGUUGUUUCCUGGGCGGGUUCGCUCGCCACCAGGACCACAAUAUAAACCUUUUUUAUGCAGUUGCAAUCAGCGUCAGUAUAACAAAUGUAAAUCAUUUACAACUUUCAACAACGGAUCUCUUGGUUCUGGCAUCGAUGAAGAACGCAGCGAAAUGCGAUACGUAGUGUGAAUUGCAGAAUUCAGUGAAUCAUCGAAUCUUUGAACGCACAUUGCGCCCUUUGGUAUUCCAAAGGGCAUGCCUGUUCGAGCGUCAUUUGUACCCUCAAGCUUUGCUUGGUGUUGGGCGUUUUUGUCUUUGGCCCGCCAAAGACUCGCCUUAAAAUGAUUGGCAGCCGGCCUACUGGUUUCGCAGCGCAGCACAUUUUUGCGCUUGCAAUCAGCAAAAGAGGACGGCAAUCCAUCAAGACUCCUUCUCACGUUUGACCUCGGAUCAGGUAGGGAUACCCGCUGAACUUAAGCAUAUCAAUAA